CCGCCCCCCCCGGACGGGGCUGGUUCGCGUCCCGCCCUCGUCGCGCGGAGUCAGUGGGUAGGGGUCAGGCUUGAGGUUAUAGCUGCGGGAUAGUACUCGUGUCCCCCGACGCAGACCAUGGAGAGCGCGCUGGCGUUGCCACGGCUGCCCCCGCAUGAUCCAGGGACGCCGGUGCUGUCGGUGGUGGACAUGCACACGGGCGGCGAGCCCCUGCGUAUCGUGCUGGCGGGGUGUCCGGAGGUGUCCGGGCCCACCCUGCUGGCCAAGCGGCGCUACAUGCGCCAGCACCUUGACUACGUGAGGCGACGGCUCAUGUUCGAGCCCCGAGGGCACCGGGACAUGUACGGGGCGGUUUUAGUCCCGAGCGAGCUGCCGGACGCGCAUCUGGGCGUCCUGUUCCUGCACAACGAGGGCUACAGCUCCAUGUGCGGCCACGCAGUGCUGGCGUUGGGCCGCUUCGCUUUGGACUUCGGGCUUGUGCCGGCGACCCCUGCGGGCACCCGCGAGGCCCGCGUCAACAUCCACUGCCCGUGCGGGCUGGUGACCGCCUUCGUGGCAUGCGAGGACGGCCGCAGCCACGGACCGGUGCGCUUCCACAGCGUCCCGGCCUUCGUGCUGGCCACAGAUCUCAUGGUGGAUGUUCCUGGACAUGGAAAGGUGGUGGUGGACAUUGCAUAUGGCGGUGCAUUUUAUGCGUUUGUUACUGCUGAAAAGUUAGGACUAGACAUUUGUUCUGCAAAGACCAGGGACCUUGUGGAUGCAGCGAGUGCAGUGACAGAGGCAGUGAAAGCUCAGUUUAAAAUUAAUCAUCCUGAUAGUGAAGACCUUGCCUUUUUAUAUGGAACUAUAUUAACAGAUGGAAAAGAUGCUUAUACCAAGGAACCAACCACCAACAUUUGUGUUUUUGCAGAUGAACAGGUUGACAGAAGUCCCACUGGCUCAGGAGUGACAGCCCGAAUUGCCUUACAGUAUCACAAAGGGCUUCUGGAACUAAACCAGACCAGAGCCUUCAAAAGCAGUGCAACUGGCUCAGUAUUCACAGGGAAAGCUGUGAGGGGCAACUUCCUGGGAGCUAAGGCUACUAAAAGGUAGAAGCCACAGUACUCAUCUGCAGAGGGCUUACAGCCUCAGCAAGGACCUUGUGGCUUUGUAACAACAAUCAGCCAUAACAAGUUUACUUGUGGAGAAGAAAACGUGUAGCACUUUCAGAAGAGGCUAUCAAAGAAAAGAGAUGAACUUGGAAGCAAGAGAUACACAGCUCAGCAUGACAGAGACUCCAUUCCAGGUGGAAAAAGCACAUGGCUCUUUCUUCUCCGAGAUCCCAGGACUGUCUUAUUUUCCUCAGAGGGGCAGGUUAUAAGAACUUCACAUCUCUCAGGCUACAUGUUGCAGAGGUUAAAUUCCAGGGGUUAUUUGUCUCAACAAGUUAAGGAAAGAGCAGCCCAAGAAUACCAUCAGAGAUGCAGCUUUCCAGGCCUCCAUCCUGGACUUGCAGGUUUCAUAUUGACAUAGAUUUGCAAGAUGACUUGCACUUCCAGGUCUCUACUCUCCAUUCCAAGAAAGAGAAAAGGGAGAAUAAGGGCUUUUUCCAAAAAGUUUUGUCUUUCUAAUCAGGAAGACAUGACCUUCCCAGAGAUGUCUGAUUACAUCUUAUUGCCAGAACUAUAUCACAUGACUAUCCCCAAGUGUUAGGGAGAUUGAAAAAUUCAAAGUUUUUAGUAGAGUGCAUUUACCUCACCCUAAAUAGUGUUAUGAUGAUCACUUUUGAUGAACAGAAUGUGGCAGAAGUGAAGAUGUCUUAAAUAUUAGGACAAAAAAAGGUAUUGACUGUGGCUUUCUUGUUGCUCUUUCUCAAGUCAGUUAUUCUGGGGAAACCCAACCGCCAUAUUGUGAGGACACUCAAGCAGCCCUAUGGAGGAGCCCACAUGGUGAGGUACUGAGGCCUCUUUCCAACACCCAUAUGAGUGAGCCAUCUUGGAAGCAGCUCCAUUUGACAUCUUAAUUACAACCCCCUAAGAGACCUGUAUCAGAACUACCCAGCUAAUCUGCUCCAAGUUUCUGACUCACAGAAGCUUUGAGAGAAUAAUUGUUUUAAGCUGCUAAAUUUGGAGCUAGCUUGUUACACAACAAUAAUAACUAAUACACUUAGUAAAAAUAAGAAUGGGUUCAUGAAACAUUUCAGUUAUAUAUGAGUGUGUGCUAGGUCUCAGUAUAAAAUGAACCCCUUCUUAUAGGUUGCAGUAAAAAACAAAAUGGAAAAUUCUGCACAAAACAAACCAAGCAACGGUUUUCUACUCUGAGGUCUUGCUGCUGCCUUCCUGAGGUCUACCUGGGAAUCAAGACACAGGUCCUCUUUGCUUUCAGGUGCCCCAAACUUAUUAGUGGCUCAUGCAGCCUUUAUUGCCCCAUCAUUCUAUAGCUAGGCCAGUCACCAAGGGUAGGCAGGGAUACACAGGGUACAAGGACACUAAUCAGAGCUCUAUUUACAUCUAAAUUCUCCUUGUUUUUUUUUUUUUUUUUUUUGAGACGGAGUCUCGCUCUGUCACCAGGCCGGAGUGCAGUGGUGCAAUCUUGGCUCACUGCAAUCUCCGCCUCCAGGGUUCAGGUGAUUCCCCUGCCUCAGCCUCCCAAGUAGCUGGGACUACAGGCAUGCACCACCAGGCCCGGCUAAUUUUUUGUAUUUUAGUAGAGAUGGAGUUUCACCAUGUUGGCCAGGAUGGUGUCAAUCUCCUGACCACGUGUUCUGCCUGCCUCAGCCUCCCUAAGUGCUGGGAUUACAGGCGUGAGCCACCACGCCCGGCCUCUCCUUGUUUUUCUAAGCUCCUCUCAUCCAACCUGAAAACAUCUUUAUCUAGUCUUUAGGAUAGUCAUCCUGGCUUUUACAGCUUUGUGUGUUCUCUUGGACUUAUUGUCUUGAUUUAAAACCUUCCUAUUUAAAGCAGGGCCAAAAUUUUAACAAACCAAAGACCUCCCUGUUUUUGGCACAGCCUCCUUUAGUUCAGAAAAUCCUAAAGGUAAAGGAGGUCCUGUGCAUACAAGGAAAUACAGUGGAAAAAGCCCUCAAAUAAUAUUUGAAAAUGUUAUUCACAUAUUGUCUUUAUUUCAACUCAGAUUCCUUUCUCAUUCCAUUUUUAUCUGGCUCCUACACUCAUUGCUUCACAGAAUUAGUCACAGAAUAGGUCACAAAUGACCUAAAUCCAAUAAAUACUUCUCAGCCACCUUACUUGACCUUGCCAAACAUAAACCACGUGUAUUAGUCAGGGUUCCCACAAUAGGCUGUCUGCAGGCUGAGGAGCAAGGAGAGCCAGUCCAAGUUCCAAAAUUGAAGAACUUGGACUCCAGUGUUCAAGAGCAGGAAGCAUCCAGCACAGGAGAAAGAUGUAGGUUGGCAGGCUAAGCCAGUCUCUGUUUUCACAUGUUUCUGCCUGCUUAGAUUCUAGCAGUGCUGGCAGCUGAUGCGAUUGUGCCCACCCAGAUUAAGGGUGGGUCUGCCUUUCCCAGCCCACUGACUCAAAUGUUAAUCUCCUGUGGCAACACCCUCACAGACACACCCAGGAUCAAUACUUUGCAUCCUUCAAUCCAAUCAAGUUGACACUCAGUAUUAACCAUCACAUCAUAGUUGGCCCCACUUCCAUUUUGGAAAUGUUCUUGUCCUCGUGUUCAUGUUCUUACUCUUUCCUGGUUUUCCGCUAACCACUCUGAUCAUUCCUUCCUAACCUCUUUGACUACUUUCUCUGCUUCCCCAUCUCACAUUUUAAAAAUUAGUUUAAACAUAGGUAAUAUGUGCACAUGGUAUGAAUUUGAAAAGGUACAAAAGGGUACAGAGUGAAAAAUAAAUGUUUCCCUUUUCCUUCCUGCCCUUGACACCUAAAACCUGCCAAUCAUCAAGUCCCUUUUCCCCAAUCUGUUCCUCUUCAACCCCAAAGUCAUUACCUCUUAUCACUAAUUUCAAUGGACUUGAUGACCUAGUUCUGGGUUCUCCAUGAGAAACCCACUUUAACAUCCAUCACAAAAUAUUUUGGAGUUCCCAGUUGGUCUUCCACAUGUACUCAAGAAAAUGUCUAUUCCUAUGGUCUCUGGGUUACUCUGCCAGGCACCAUUGUUAAUCCAAGUAGCUCUGCCAAGAACAGUAGCUAUAAGGAAGAAGAGAUAGUGCUUAGCGGACAACAUUCUUCAAACAUGGCAUCUUUUCAACUUUUUUUUAGUAGGCUUUAUUUUUCAGAGCAUCUUUAGGUUCACAGCAAAAUUGAGUGAAAGUACAGAGAUUUCCCAUUUAUUCUCUGCCCCAACACAUGCAAAACCUCACCUGUUACCAAUAUCCCCCACCAGAGAGGUACAUUUGUUAUAAUCAAUAAACCUACAAUGACACAUUGCUAUCACCCAAAGUCUGUAGUUUACAUUAGGGUUCACUCACUCUUGGUGUUGUACAUUCUAUGGGUUUUGACAAAUGUUAUAACAUGUAUCUAUAAUUAUAGAAAUAUGUAGAAAAGUUUUAUUGCUCUAAAAUUCCUCUGUGCUCCAUCCAUUCAUCCCUUUCUUCUCCCAGUCUCUUGAAACCACUGCUACUGUUACGGUCUCCGUGGUUUUGCCUUUUCCAGAAUGUCACAUAGUUGGAAUCAUACCAUAGGAAGCCUUUUCCUGUGGCUUCUUUUGCUUAGUAAUAUGCAUUUUAGGUUUCUCCAUAGCUUUUUAUGGCUAAACAGCUCAUUUCCUUUUAGUGCUAAUAUUCCAUUGUCUGGAUGUACCAUAGCUUAUUUAUCUGCUUAUUUACUGAUAGCAUCUUGGUUGCUUCCAAUAUUUUGCAAUUAUUAAUAAAGCUGCUAUAAACAUC
This is an RNA transcript of Pongo pygmaeus (Bornean orangutan), 4831 nucleotides long. It is a transcript of the gene named trans-L-3-hydroxyproline dehydratase, with no coding region annotated. NCBI's taxonomy places the organism in Eukaryota, Metazoa, Chordata, Mammalia, Primates, Hominidae. The record is from RefSeq and is a predicted model, not a curated record. The transcript has 7 exons.